Molecule: long non-coding RNA, 845 nt
Filed under: Marmota monax (woodchuck)
Lineage: Eukaryota; Metazoa; Chordata; Mammalia; Rodentia; Sciuridae
Source: RNAcentral
GUUUACUCCUACUUUUACUAAAUAAAUUUCAUGCAAAUAUUUGACUAAUGACUACAUAGGGAAAAAUCAUUAUUCUUUAAGGGUACCCAAUUAUCUUGCUGUGGCCCUCCUUUGAGAAGCAUUAUUAGUGUUCACAUAGACGAAAAGAUCUUCCGCAUCAGAGAAUAUGGGGGUCAUGUAAUUUCAGUUAUUCACCCAUUUUUGGCCAAGAUGAGCUUCAAACCAACUUAUAACCAUGUCUAGGACUCCUGCUCUCAAAUGUAAAGUUCUAUAACUAGGUUGUGAGAUUUUUCAAAUACACAUGCAGGAUAUCCAGUUGAGUUUGAAUUUCACAUAAAGAGUAAAUGAUUCCUCAAUGGAAUUAUGUCAAAUAUUUCACAGGCCGUCCUGUCACUCAAAUAAUAUUAUUUGUUGUGUAUCUGAUCUUCAAAUUUAAAAUUUGAAAUCUGGGCAUCCAAAUAUCUGUUUAGCCAGCAGUCUUGUCUAUGACAAAAUUCAGUGAUAGAAUCUGGGUCUUUAUGCUUGGUGGGUGUAUUGGGGUGAGGAGGAAGUCCUAUCUCUGAGAAGUCUGAAAUCCUAAUGAUGACACUGAAGGCAUAAACAUAGUGAGAAUGAAGUAUCCACAAGAACAUCUGAAAAUAUGUGCCUUAGAAAAUAAAGAAUACUUUGCUCUGUGGACCUGUUUUAGGUUUUCACCUUCAGGGUCCAUAAUUUGCAUUGCUAUAGGCAAUAGAACAGUCUGGGCAAAGUAAUCAAGAAAAGAAGAGUUGUAGUGUUGAGGCCUGGGUGGCCUCUCUAAUCCACCACUCAGAUCCUUUUUUUUACAAAUGAGGACAUAAACUGUG